GGAGAAGGAGUGGAGGAGGGAGAUGAGCGCGCUCACUCAGCAUCAGCAACACACACACACACGCACAAAGAGGUCGGAGAGCUGGCUCGUGAAUGGGAGAUGACGGAGCGCUGCAGGACGCGCUCAGAACAGGACUGAUACUCGCAUCCAUCAUACACACAGGGAGUGUCAAGGUGCAGCAACAGGUGAUUAGAAAGCCACCUGCGGAAGACUGAUCCCAUGUUCCCUAAGGUUUUCCUGCAGUGGUAUGCGGCAUUUUCCUCUUGCGCAGCUAAAAUAGGUAAAGGUGCACUUCCACGCACCAAGCAUUGCAUCAUUAUGUCCGCCUGCAUGCUGCAGCAUUGCACAUUCGCUGUAAAGCCGCUCCACUGCAGCUUGGGCUGUAGCUUGCCAUUAAGACAUGACAGGAUAUUCAGAAAUGUAUUGCACUGUUUAAAAAACAAUUCCUGUAAAAAGUGGUCAGAAAGGAGGAUAUUAAUUUGUCAUGUGGAAAGAAAGUGUAAGUAAACCAUUUAAUAUUACAGCAAUUACAUUCUCAGGAAAAGAAUCUAGUAAGGAAUAAAACACGAUGGGACCGUGCCGUCAUACGAAUAAUAAUACACACUGAGGUGGUAUGAUAUGGCCUGAGCGUGUAACAGCACCAAAUCGAUAUUGCCUUCGAUUACAAUUUUUGAUUUAUUAAUGAAUGAAUAUAGUACUUGGUUUAAAUGGUUUAUAGUUACAACAAUUUUGCCAAUUCAAGUAGAUUUCUGGAAAAUAAAAAACACAAAAAACUCCACAAACUGCAUAAAAAAUUUAGGAAGAAAAGCCACAGCAAAAUCAAGCAUUUUAAUCACACAAAAAUCACACACAAAAAAUGUACAAUAAGAUUAUGUAGAGAAUCCACCCAUCAAAAUCCCUGUGCACGAGCUGUCACUAUAGAAACAUAUUAGUUAACAUAUACUAUAUUAGAAAGAGUGUAUUAAUAUAAAUCUAUUGUUCAUGUUCAUGUCCAAACCGUGCAUUUAUAUAGCAUUAAUCCACAGCUUCUGACCAAUCCAUCCAUCCAUCUUCUAUACUGCGUAUCCUACUGGGUCACAAGGAACCUGGAGCCUAUCCCAGGGAGCAGGAGGCACAAGGCAGGGUACACCCUGGACAGGAUGCCAAUCCAUCGCAGGGCACAAUCACAUACACGUUCACACACUACAGACACUUUGGACAUGCCAAUCAGGGGGAGGAAACCGGAGUACCCAGAGGAAACACAACGCUGGGAAUCGAACCCCCAACCCUGGAGGUGUGAGGCGAACGUACUAACUAACAGUAAGUUAGCAGCUGGUAAAUUGACACAGAUAGUCUGCUAAAUAUUACGGUAACCUUUACCUUUGAGGAAAACGGAUUAUUCAAGUUGUCAUUCUAUCAAUUAUUAUUGUAAUAAAACCGCACACAAUGUUAUAUUACGGUAAAUACUUUCAGGAACAAAACAGACAAUUACCGUCUUAACUGUCCUUUCAUCACUAUUAUUUUGAAAUCUUACAGAAUUACAACAGAUUUGAGAAGAGAAAAUGCAUGAAUCUGCUUUACUGCAUUACCCAUAAAUAAGCAGUAUAUGUUCAAAAGCACAAAGGGUUCCAGCACUAUCGGCUUCGAAUAAUAGAUUGUAAAUCAGGAGUCGGAAAACAAAUGUAACACAAAGUGAAAUAAACUUGUGAACUGAUAAUUAUAGCUGUUUAUUUUUUAAACGUGAUAUGGAAGAAAAAAACAUAGAGAACCCUGCUGGAAAAAAAACUCCAUUAGAAAUCCUCAUAGAAUUUGUAAUGAUUUUAAUGGUUAAAAUAUGAAUUGUUUUAUAAUAGGAAUUGUACUGGUUUUAAUGGAAACUGUAAUGGUCCCUGUAAUGGGUCUCUACUGGUAAUUUGUUGCCUUCUAUUGGUGGUAUGUUAUGUCUAUUGGAAACCAUUAAGGACCAGUAAUGGUUUUAAUGGUUAUAAUUGGAAUUGUACUGGUUUCAAUGGAAACUGUAGUGGUCCCUGUAAUGGGUCUCUACUGGUAAUUUGUUGCCUUCUAUUGGUGGUAUGUUAUGUCUAGUGGAAACCAUUAAGGACUGGUAAUGGUUUUAAUGGUUAUAAUGGGCAUUGUACUGGUUUUAAUGGAAACUGUAAUGGUCCCUGUAAUGGGUCUCUACUGGUAAUCUGUUGCCUUCUAUUGGUGGUAUGUUAUGUCUAGUGGAAACCAUUAAGGACCAGUAAUGGUUUUAAUGGUUAUAAUGGGAAUUGUACUUUUUAAUGGAAAUUGUAAUGGUCCCUGUAAUGGGUCUCUACUGAUAAAUUGUUGCCUUCUAUUGGUGGUAUGUUAUGUCUAGUGGAAACCAUUAAGGACCAGUAAUGGUUAUAAUGGGAAUUGUACUGGUUUUAAUGGAAACUGUAAUGGUCCCUGUAAUGGGUCUCUACUGGUAAUUUGCUGCCUUCUAUUGGUGGCAUGUUAUGUCUAGUGGAAACCAUUAAGGACCAGUAAUGGUUUUAAUGGUUAUAAUGGGAAUUGUACUGGUUUUAAUGGAAACUGUAAUGGUCCCUGUAAUGGGUCUCUACUGAUAAAUUGUUGCCUUCUAUUGGUGGUAUGUUAUGUCUAGUGGAAACCAUUAAGGACCAGUAAUGGUUAUAAUGGGAAUUGUACUGGUUUUAAUGGAAACUGUAAUGGUCCCUGUAAUGGGUCUCUACUGGUAAUUUGUUGACUUCUAUUGGUGGCAUGUUAUGUCUAGUGGAAACCAUUAAGGACCAGUAAUGGUUUUAAUGGUUAUAAUGGGAAUUGUACUGGUUUUAAUGGAAACUGUAAUGGUCCUUGUAAUGGGUCUCUACUGGUAAUUUGUUGUCUUCUAUUGGUUGCAUGAAAUUUAAAUAUCUAGUGGAUUCCAUUAAGGACCAAUAAUGGUAAUGGUAAUGGCCUUGUGGUAUUUCUAGUGGAAACCAUUGGAAUUACUAUGACGGUUUAUGUUGUUUUUUCAGCAGGGAAUACUAUUUGACAUUUAAUAAAUGAUACACGGGGUUUUAUGCCGAAUAAACUUGAGAAAACCAAAAAAAACAUGCAAGAUGAAGAAACCAAGUAGAAAACACUGAAACUAAACACAAACUGGAAAUAUGUACAUAAGCAUUAAUCAAAUAUAAACAGGCAGGGAAGGCAAAAAAGUAAGUCAAUAAAUAUUAAGGAGGCGGAGAAAACUAAACAAAAAACAGAGAUAGAAGCACAAGGAAUCAGAACUCGGAGGAAGCGUCGAGGGCGUGUCAUGGUGGAUGUGCGCAUUACGUAUCGGAUUACACUGCUAAGGUUUCUCUCCUCUUCCAUUCAAAUUCUCAGUGAGCAAGCGAACUGCCGGCUUUUCGAUAGACUGCGACUUGUUUGUGUUUUUCCUCGACAUUUCUCAUCUUCAUAAGGAAAAGGCUUUCGUUGAAUUAUUUAUAAAGUAUAUAUAAGUCUUAUAAACUCAUAUUCACUGAUGGAACUGAAGAUGUCUGAAGCACAAUGAUUUGGAAAAAGACAUAAUUAGCUGAUACUCUGGUUUGUCUAACUGACACCAAAGGAAUAAGCAAAGCCAUAAUGAUAAUAAUAAUAAUAACAAUAGUAAUAAUAAUAAUAAUAAUACACUAUCAAUCUCCAAUAUUUUUUGGUCCCUUAAAAUGGAGCAUCUGGCCACAAGGGACAAAUGAACAACUAAACGAUUUAUUAUCUGCAUGAAAUGUGAUAAAGUGAACACGACAUGCUAAAUGAGCUCAGACGGAGACGGUUAGGACAGCAACCUAAACAUAGUUGUUUUGACAAGCCACAAAUUUAACGGUGACUAGUAGUUAAACCUGUUUCUUUAAAAAAAAAUCUCAAAUUUAAAUUCAAACGUUUCCCCUGUGAAUGUACAGAUUGUUUAUUUCCAGUGUAUUACAGACCCAUGUAGUCGCCUGUCAUACUGUAUGUGAUGCUUUACAAUUGUAACUCAACUGUGGAGAAAUGGGGCUGCAGAAUUACAAAAUGCUUUCAUUACAGCAAGAAUGCCCACGAACUGAGCUGCGCUACACUCAUAAAGUCAUGCCGUUAUGCUUCUGCCAUGCCAGACCUGGUGUGUGUGUAUGGUGCAUAUCUGGUCAGGAACUACAGGAGCUGCACAAGUGCCAUAAAACAACCAGCUGCAUAGGAUGAUGUGACGUUUCCUUCCUGUGUCCUCAAUAUCUUUGUGUCUGGCUUAGAAUGUUCGUGUCUGUGUUGGCAUUUUUAGACUGAGGAAACAGUGAAGGGUUAAAAAAUUUACUUCCUGUUACAGGGAACAAGAAAGGCAGAAAUAGUGUGUCUGUGUGUGUGUGUGUGUGUGUGUGUGUGUGUGUGUGUGUGUGUGUGUGUGUGUGUGUGCACAUCUGUCUGUAUGACUGAGGAUCUGUUUCCUACUCCAAAGCACAUGCUGUUCUUUGUGCUUUCUAGCAUCAUCCCAUUCACAGCUUUUGCAGAAAACACACACACACACAUACACACACACACACACACACACACACACACACACACACACACACACAC
Long non-coding RNA from Ictalurus punctatus (channel catfish), 4527 nucleotides. The record is from Ensembl. NCBI's taxonomy places the organism in Eukaryota, Metazoa, Chordata, Actinopteri, Siluriformes, Ictaluridae.